This 860-nucleotide ribosomal RNA is filed under the name uncultured eukaryote. RNAcentral's name for it is "SSU rRNA". It matches the Rfam family "Eukaryotic small subunit ribosomal RNA", at positions 46 to 909 of the family's 1831-position model. The record is from RNAcentral.
CAGCCAUGCAUGUCUAAGUAUAAGCACUUGUACUGUGAAACUGCGAAUGGCUCAUUAAAUCAGUUAUCGUUUAUUUGAUUGUACCUUACUACAUGGAUACCUGUGGUAAUUCUAGAGCUAAUACAUGCGAAAAGUCCCGACUUCUGGAAGGGAUGUAUUUAUUAGAUUAAAAACCAAUGCGAGUCUUCGGGCUCGUUUUCUUGGUGAUUCAUGAUAACUUUUCGAAUCGCAUGGCCUAGAGCCGGCGAUAUUUCAUUCAAAUUUCUGCCCUAUCAACUGUCGAUGGUAAGGUAGUGGCUUACCAUGGUUAUAACGGGUGACGGAGAAUUAGGGUUCGAUUCCGGAGAGGGAGCCUGAGAAACGGCUACCACAUCUAAGGAAGGCAGCAGGCUCGAAAAUUACCCAAUCCCGACUCGGGGAGGUAGUGACAAGAAAUAACGAUACGGGGUCUUAAUAGGUCUCGCAAUUGGAAUGAGUACAAUUUAAAUCCUUUAACGAGGAUCAAUUGGAGGGCAAGUCUGGUGCCAGCAGCCGCGGUAAUUCCAGCUCCAAUAGCGUAUAUUAAAGUUGUUGCAGUUAAAAAGCUCGUAGUUGGAUUUCGGAGUGGGCCAGUUGGUCCGCCGCAAGGUGUGUUACUGACUGGUUUGCUCUUCUUCGCAAAGACUGCGUGUGCCCUUAAAUGAGUGUGCGUAGGAUUUACGACGUUUACUUUGAAAAAAUUAGAGUGUUCAAAGCAGGCUAUUGCUUGAAUACAUGAGCAUGGAAUAAUGGAAUAGGACUUUGGUCCCAUUUUGUUGGUUUCUAGGGCCGAAGUAAUGAUUAAGAGGGACAAUUGGGGGCAUCCGUAUUUCGUUGUCAGA